Molecule: non-coding RNA, 46 nt
Filed under: Trichobilharzia regenti
Lineage: Eukaryota; Metazoa; Platyhelminthes; Trematoda; Strigeidida; Schistosomatidae
Source: RNAcentral
GUACAGAUGAAGAGUCCUAAACUAGGACGAAACAACUGUCCAGUAC